Molecule: ribosomal RNA, 417 nt
Filed under: Gammarus sp. lacustris-type SB71
Lineage: Eukaryota; Metazoa; Arthropoda; Malacostraca; Amphipoda; Gammaridae
Description: partial 16S ribosomal RNA
Rfam family: Bacterial large subunit ribosomal RNA
Source: RNAcentral
GUGCUAAGGUAGCAUAAUCAUUUGCUACUUAAUUGGUAGCUGGAAUGAAAGGUUAAACUAGCUUACUCAGUUUGUUGUGUUUUGUAAGAAAUUAAAGUCGAGGUAAGAAUUCUUUGAUCUGCUAGGGGACGAUAAGACCCUAGAAGCUUAACAAUAAGAGUAUUUAUUAGUUAUAAAAAUUAAUUUGUUUUACUGGGGCGGUAAAGGUAUAUAAACUAUUAGUGUAUUGAUAGAUCCUUAAAAUAAAGAUAAAACGGGAAAGUUACUCUAGGGGUAACAGUGCAAUAUUUUUGGAGAGAUCAUAUCGAUAAAAAUGUUUGCAACCUCGAUGUUGAAUUAAGAUGUCUACGUGAAGCAGCAGGUACGAGAGAGGGUUUGUUCAACCUUUAAAUUUUUACAUGAUCUGAGUUCAAACCG